Molecule: ribosomal RNA, 180 nt
Filed under: uncultured bacterium
Lineage: Bacteria
Description: partial 16S ribosomal RNA
Rfam family: Bacterial small subunit ribosomal RNA
Source: RNAcentral
AUUGGACAAUGGGCGAAAGCCUGAUCCAGCCAUGCCGCGUGUGUGAAGAAGGUCUUCGGAUUGUAAAGCACUUUAAGUUGGGAGGAAGGGCAUUAACCUAAUACGUUGGUGUCUUGACGUUACCGACAGAAUAAGCACCGGCUAACUCUGUGCCAGCAGCCGCGGUAAUACAGAGGGUGC